This 463-nucleotide ribosomal RNA is filed under the name uncultured bacterium. RNAcentral describes it as "bacterial SSU rRNA". It matches the Rfam family "Bacterial small subunit ribosomal RNA", at positions 32 to 524 of the family's 1533-position model. The record is from RNAcentral.
AAUCAACGCUGGCGGCGUGCCUAACACAUGCAAGUCGCACGAGAAAGGGGAGCAAUCCCUGAGUAAAGUGGCGCACGGGUGAGUAACACGUGAAUCAUCUACCUCCGAGUGGGGAAUAACUGAGAGAAAUCUUAGCUAAUACCGCAUAACACUUACGAGUCAAAGCAGCAAUGCGCUUGGAGAGGAGUUCGCGGCCGAUUAGUUAGUUGGCGGGGUAAUGGCCCACCAAGACGAUGAUCGGUAUCCGGCCUGAGAGGGCGCACGGACACACUGAAACUGAAACACGGUCCAGACUCCUACGGGAGGCAGCAGUGGGGAAUUUUGCGCAAUGGGGGAAACCCUGACGCAGCGACGCCGCGUGGAGGAUGAAGUAUCUUGGUACGUAAACUCUUUCGAUUGGGAAGAUAAUGACGGUACCAAUAGAAGAAGCCCCGGCUAACUUCGUGCCAGCAGCCGCGGUAAU